UCUCCGUAGGUGAACCUGCGGAGGGAUCAUUACAGAGUUCAUGCCCUACCGGGUAGAUCUCCCACCCUAUGUUAUUAUUACUUUGUUGCUUUGGCGGGCCGUUAGGCUCCGGCCCGACUACCGGCCCCGGCUGGUAAGCGCCCGCCAGAGGACCCAAAACCCUGAAUAUUAGUGUCGUCUGAGUACUAUAUGAUAGUUAAAACUUUCAACAACGGAUCUCUUGGUUCUG
Molecule: unclassified non-coding RNA, 229 nt
Filed under: plant metagenome
Description: partial contains small subunit ribosomal RNA, internal transcribed spacer 1, and 5.8S ribosomal RNA
Source: RNAcentral